RNAcentral lists this non-coding RNA (95 nucleotides) under human gut metagenome. RNAcentral's name for it is "TPP riboswitch (THI element)". It matches the Rfam family "TPP riboswitch aptamer (THI element)", at positions 7 to 92 of the family's 105-position model. From Rfam's summary of the family: Vitamin B(1) in its active form thiamin pyrophosphate (TPP) is an essential coenzyme that is synthesised by coupling of pyrimidine and thiazole moieties in bacteria. The previously detected thiamin-regulatory element, thi box was extended, resulting in a new, highly conserved RNA secondary structure, the THI element, which is widely distributed in eubacteria and also occurs in some archaea. The record is from RNAcentral. RNAcentral also lists the same sequence under 1 other name.
AACAAGGGGUGCUGGCGGACCGGCCGGCUGAGAAUGAGCUCGCGGCUCUAAACCCUGAAACCUGAUCCGGAUAAUACCGGCGGAGGGAUGUUUUC